Molecule: long non-coding RNA, 719 nt
Filed under: Triticum aestivum (bread wheat)
Lineage: Eukaryota; Viridiplantae; Streptophyta; Magnoliopsida; Poales; Poaceae
Description: long non-coding RNA (TAES_LNC027523)
Source: RNAcentral
AUAGACGAGAGUAUAGUCUGAAGGGAAAAAAUGAUAUGCUCUCAAGUCUCAAGGGUGUGCAAGAACAGUGAGAUUUAUAUUACUGAACAUAUUGUUAACAAUUUGUUAUUUUGCAGACUUGCUCUCAGUUUUUAUUCUUGGCAGGUGAUUCUUCAUGAUAAUUUUUCGUAGAGGAACAUUUUUGGUAAGUGUAUUGUAAUAUUGACUCCCACCUUUUUAUUUACAUGUAAAGAUAACCAAUUGGAAAUUUUAAAUUUUAAAUGUACAUUUAACUUAUUUUAUGAAAUAACAUCAUGUCGUUCAGAUAAUUUGAUUUCCCUCUAUGAUAUUCUUUGGCUUUAGUAUAUCUUAGGACAAAGUUGUCAGAAGUUCUAUGCUUCAUAACCAAAACAUAAUCUCCUUUUUGUUAUUUGAUUUGCAUCAUGAUGUGCGCCCAUAUGUUCCCCUGUCACUUAAAAAAAAUUAAUGCCCGAUGCAACACACGUGCAUAUACCUAUCAUGACAAAUAAACCUCAUCAUGAAAGCAUUUAUGUACCUAUUUAAUUUGCAAUGGCAGGGUGGCGCCGGGAACGGGGAUCGGUGGUGCUGGUGUCGGUGUUGCGGUACAAGGCAGGAUGCGGGACAGGACGGCCAUCCGUGUGAGGCAGUCGGCGGCGAGGGUUUGUGGCAUCAGGAGGAGCGCCCGCGACACCUCCAGAUUCAAGGUGUUGGCCCGCGAC